This 1769-nucleotide long non-coding RNA is filed under the name Sus scrofa (pig). Its description in RNAcentral is "lncRNA (ENSSSCG00035019101.1)". The record is from RNAcentral. Lineage: Eukaryota; Metazoa; Chordata; Mammalia; Artiodactyla; Suidae.
GGACCGCUCGCUCUGACAGCAGUCAGCACUGGGAACAAAAGGAAUGGAGGGGAAAAAAAGCGCAAAUGUAUUUUUACAUAUUGUAGGCAUAUGGCCACAAGACCAGCAGAAAUAUAUUUAAUUAACAAUUGCGCACAUUGAAGAGAAAAACACCGGGAAGGAAAAAAAAAAAAAAAAAAAAAAAAAACCUGUGUACACAGCAAUGUUAUUCUACUUUAACUUUUCACCUCAUUUUUUUUGUUUGUUUGUUUGUUUUCUUUUCUUUCUUUUUUUUUUACCUGAAGAUGAAAAGGAUGUGGUUUAGAAUCGAGAAGGGUUAUCUACUAGAAUCCCAUUGUGAAGGUGCUAUGGGUCUUUGACAUGCCUUUCCAAAUAGUGUAACAUUACAUGAAGAAAUAUGAAAGUUUUCUUUUAAUUAUUUUAAUUAUAAAAUAAUUUUUCAAAGGUAUUUGGGGGGGUCAGGGGGACCUACCUGAAACAGAACCAUUAGACAAUCCCACCGUCCCGUGAAAACUGUAUUUCUGAUGUUAAACAUUUGUUUAGGCCUUGACAAUGAACAAAUCCCCCUUGGAAGUUUUAUAGUUUUGUUCUUCCUUAUGAAAUCGGAACAGUUCAGCCCACAUUAAUUGCCUGCUUCCUAUCUGUCAGGCACUGUGCUAGCCAGUGGAGGGGCAGAAAUGAACCAUAUGUAUUCCCUGCGCUCAAGAAGCUCAUAGUCUAAGAUGGGAGACAGACACAGGCUGAGUAGUGUUCCAUUGUAUAUGUGUACCACAUCUUUAUGGAAUGGACUUUUUCUUCAGCCUGGGAGUCAGUCACCAAGGAGGACCAGCAAGAUAACUUCUUCCUGGAAGAGCUAAUGAAAAGAAACUUUGGGUCUGAGCAAGAGUGUAGGUGAGAAAUCUCGUGGUACCCAUUGAUCCUGUUGAUUGUUUCACCAAUCAUCAACCUGAUGGGAAAUUUUAUCUGAAUCAAUGUGUUAGAACUUCCUACUUCCCUAAGCUCUAGUAACUGGGGAGACUGGGGUUGGGCAAAUACCUAUUGGUACCACGCAUACCUUUGGGCCAUCUGGUUGUUGGUGGACUAGGACCUAUGGUUGGGGCUAGAGCCAUGUCCAGUGAGAGUCUGUGCCCAGCUGGUCACAGGCCUCCUCUGAGGAGUGCUGGGGGUGGUGAGACCCCCAGCAGUAGCAGAGGCAGCAGCCCCAGCAUUGAGGUAGGGUUGGGGGACUUGGCUGCAUGACCAAGUUGGUGGCCAUGGACUCUAAUCAGGAAGAGGAAUCACAAGGAUGAAGGCAGUUAGAUGUGUCCCAUCAAACUAGUGGCCAGGCCUUGAAUUUCCCAGCUGUGAUUCACCAUUCCUGGCAGGUGUACCUCUUGGGUUGACAUGUCUGAGAACUGUGUGGGCAGGUCUCUUCUUUCUGGCCUCUGGAAGGGUUUAUUGGAAGACAGAUAUUGAAAUGGUUCCAACCCUAGUGAUAGUGUAGUUGUGAUAACCAUCAGAAGCUAGUCCCAUCUUUACUGGAGAAGGUUUGGUUUAUUUGGGGCUUGGCCUUGGAGAGGCCAACACUGAAGAAAUAGACCAAGACCAUCGUAAAGCUCAAAUGGAUCCCAUAUGAACACAUGAAUUGUGCUGACUCAGUUAUUAGUGAAUUCAAGCGUGCUUGGGUAGGAGUUAAAAAUGUUGAAAUUGUCAUGAGUUAGGAGCUAGGUGGAAAUUACUUUCCUAUAGCCUGAAUUUAAAAUACUUCUGGAAAAUAAAGAGUCUGUGUC